GUAAAGGCCCUUUUCAGGGCCAUCCAUAAUUUCAUUUAAAUUCUUU
Non-coding RNA from Schistosoma haematobium, 46 nucleotides. The record is from Rfam. Lineage: Eukaryota; Metazoa; Platyhelminthes; Trematoda; Strigeidida; Schistosomatidae.